RNAcentral lists this ribosomal RNA (148 nucleotides) under uncultured Pseudomonas sp. Its description in RNAcentral is "partial 16S ribosomal RNA". It matches the Rfam family "Bacterial small subunit ribosomal RNA", at positions 202 to 344 of the family's 1533-position model. The record is from RNAcentral. Lineage: Bacteria; Pseudomonadati; Pseudomonadota; Gammaproteobacteria; Pseudomonadales; Pseudomonadaceae.
GGGGGAUCUUCGGACCUCACGCUAUCAGAUGAGCCUAGGUCGGAUUAGCUAGUUGGCGAGGUAAAGGCUCACCAAGGCGACGAUCCGUAACUGGUCUGAGAGGAUGAUCAGUCACACUGGAACUGAGACACGGUCCAGACUCCUACGG